RNAcentral lists this ribosomal RNA (255 nucleotides) under uncultured bacterium. RNAcentral describes it as "partial 16S ribosomal RNA". It matches the Rfam family "Bacterial small subunit ribosomal RNA", at positions 524 to 775 of the family's 1533-position model. The record is from RNAcentral.
UACGUAGGGUGCAAGCGUUAAUCGGAAUUACUGGGCGUAAAGCGUGCGCAGGCGGUUGUGCAAGACAGAUGUGAAAUCCCCGGGCUUAACCUGGGAAUUGCAUUUGUGACUGCACGGCUAGAGUGUGCCAGAGGGGGGUAGAAUUCCACGUGGUAGCAGUGAAAUGCGUAGAUAUGAUGGAGGAAUACCGAUGGCGAAGGCAGCCCCCUGGGAUAACACUGACGCCUCAUGCACGAAAGCGUGGGGAGCAAACAG